AGAGUUUGAUCCUGGCUCAGGAUGAACGCUAGCUACAGGCUUAACACAUGCAAGUCGAGGGGCAGCAUGUUGGUUGCUUGCAACCAAUGAUGGCGACCGGCGCACGGGUGAGUAACGCGUAUCCAACCUGCCCUUUACUCCGGGAUAGUCUCCUGAAAGGGAGUUUAAUACCGGAUGUGUUUGUUUUUCCGCAUGGGAGCGACAAAUAAAGAUUAAUUGGUAAAGGAUGGGGAUGCGUCCCAUUAGCUUGUUGGCGGGGUAACGGCCCACCAAGGGCAACGGAUGGGUAGGGGUUCUGAGAGGAAGGUCCCCCACAUUGGAACUGAGACACGGUCCAAACUCCUACGGGAGGCA
Molecule: ribosomal RNA, 354 nt
Filed under: uncultured bacterium
Lineage: Bacteria
Description: bacterial SSU rRNA
Rfam family: Bacterial small subunit ribosomal RNA
Source: RNAcentral